RNAcentral lists this ribosomal RNA (468 nucleotides) under uncultured Rhodoferax sp. Its description in RNAcentral is "bacterial SSU rRNA". It matches the Rfam family "Bacterial small subunit ribosomal RNA", at positions 910 to 1382 of the family's 1533-position model. The record is from RNAcentral. Lineage: Bacteria; Pseudomonadati; Pseudomonadota; Betaproteobacteria; Burkholderiales; Comamonadaceae.
UUGACGGGACCGCACAAGCGGUGGAUGAUGUGGUUUAAUUCGACGCAACGCGAAAACCUUACCACCUUUGACAUGUACGGAAGUCGCUAGAGAUAGCUUCGUGCUCGAAAGAGAGCCGUAACACAGGUGCUGCAUGGCUGUCGUCAGCUCGUGUCGUGAGAUGUUGGGUUAAGUCCCGCAACGAGCGCAACCCUUGUCAUUAGUUGCUACAUUCAGUUGGGCACUCUAAUGAGACUGCCGGUGACAAACCGGAGGAAGGUGGGGAUGACGUCAAGUCCUCAUGGCCCUUAUAGGUGGGGCUACACACGUCAUACAAUGGCUGGUACAAAGGGUUGCCAACCCGCGAGGGGGAGCUAAUCCCAUAAAACCAGUCGUAGUCCGGAUCGCAGUCUGCAACUCGACUGCGUGAAGUCGGAAUCGCUAGUAAUCGUGGAUCAGAAUGUCACGGUGAAUACGUUCCCGGGUCUU